RNAcentral lists this ribosomal RNA (429 nucleotides) under Pseudomonadota bacterium. RNAcentral's name for it is "Proteobacteria bacterium partial 16S ribosomal RNA". It matches the Rfam family "Bacterial small subunit ribosomal RNA", at positions 355 to 776 of the family's 1533-position model. Lineage: Bacteria; Pseudomonadati; Pseudomonadota. The record is from RNAcentral.
UGGGGAAUAUUGGACAAUGGGCGGAAGCCUGAUCCAGCCAUGCCGCGUGUGUGAAGAAGGUCUUCGGAUUGUAACGCACUUUAAGUUGGGAGGAAGGGCAGUAAGCGAAUACCUUGCUGUUUUGACGUUACCGACAGAAUAAGCACCGGCUAACUCUGUGCCAGCAGCCGCGGUAAUACAGAGGGUGCAAGCGUUAAUCGGAAUUACUGGGCGUAAAGCGCGCGUAGGUGGUUCGUUAAGUUGAAUGUGAAAGCCCCGGGCUCAACCUGGGAACUGCAUCCAAAACUGGCGAGCUAGAGUAGGGCAGAGGGUGGUGGAAUUUCCUGUGUAGCGGUGAAAUGCGUAGAUAUAGGAAGGAACACCAGUGGCGAAGGCGACCACCUGGGCUCAUACUGACACUGAGGUGCGAAAGCGUGGGGAGCAAACAGG